CACUAAGCAAUGUGGUGUUUAGGUUGGUACUGCGAAGUCAUUACUCCGCUCAAAGUCCUGUUAUGAAUACGGUUUUACAUAGCCCACAGAGGGUGAAAGGCCCGUGUGAGCUGAGGACUUGUAAGUGACUUCCGGAACUGACCUUGGAGUCGGGUUGUUUGAAAAUGCAGCCCAAAGUGGGUGGUAAACUCCAUCCAAGGCUCAAUACUGGCACGAGUCCGAUAGCAAACAAGUACCGUGAGGGAAAGUUGAAAAGUACUCUGAAGAGAGAGUAAACAGUACGUGAAACCGCUCAGAGGUAAACGGGUAGAGUUGAACUGCAAGCCGUGGAGAUUCAGCUGACGAGCGUGUUAUGAACUUGGGUAUGUCGACUGGCUGCGGAGGUCUGCUUAACUGCGGGUUGCUGCCUUUGGGUGGCGAUGUGCGAUGCACUUUCCAUGUGUUGCGUGCCUCUGUUGACCGGGUCAGUUCGUCAGUGCACUUCUUCAUGGUGUUCACCACGACCGACGCGGCUGUUGGCCUGCUGUGCAAGGGGAAGGUAGCUCAUUGGUCCCGGCCGAUGAGUGCAAUAGCCAAGUACGGUAGCGCUGUGCAGUG
Molecule: ribosomal RNA, 597 nt
Filed under: Neonematobothrium cf. kawakawa AA030
Lineage: Eukaryota; Metazoa; Platyhelminthes; Trematoda; Azygiida; Didymozoidae
Also listed under: 5 other names
Description: eukaryotic LSU rRNA
Rfam family: Eukaryotic large subunit ribosomal RNA
Source: RNAcentral